CCUACGGGUGGCAGCAGUGGGGAAUCUUGCGCAAUGCGCGAAAGCGUGACGCAGCAACGCCGCGUGGGGGAAGACGGCCUUCGGGUUGUAAACCCCUUUCAGUUGGGACGAAGCUUCGACGGUUAAUAGCCGGCUGGAGUGACGGUACCUUCAGAAGAAGCCCCGGCUAACUACGUGCCAGCAGCCGCGGUAAUACGUAGGGGGCAAGCGUUGUCCGGAAUCAUUGGGCGUAAAGCGCGUGUAGGCGGUUCGGUAAGUCUGCUGUGAAAGUCCAGGGCUCAACCCUGGGAUGCCGGUGGAUACUGUCGGGCUAGAGUACGGAAGAGGCGAGUGGAAUUCCCGGUGUAGCGGUGAAAUGCGCAGAUAUCGGGAGGAACACCAAUUGCGAAGGCAGCUCGCUGGGACGUUACUGACGCUGAGACGCGAAAGCGUGGGGAGCA
This 440-nucleotide ribosomal RNA is filed under the name uncultured bacterium. Its description in RNAcentral is "bacterial SSU rRNA". It matches the Rfam family "Bacterial small subunit ribosomal RNA", at positions 338 to 770 of the family's 1533-position model. The record is from RNAcentral.